Molecule: ribosomal RNA, 614 nt
Filed under: Arecophila miscanthi
Lineage: Eukaryota; Fungi; Ascomycota; Sordariomycetes; Xylariales; Cainiaceae
Description: SSU rRNA
Rfam family: Eukaryotic small subunit ribosomal RNA
Source: RNAcentral
GCAUUAUACGGCGAAACUGCGAAUGGCUCAUUAAAUCAGUUAUCAGUUUAUUUGAUAAUACCUUACUACUUGGAUAACCGUGGUAAUUCUAGAGCUAAUACAUGCUUCAAAUCCCGACUCACGAAGGGGUGUAUUUAUUAGAUUAAAAACCAAUGCCCUUCGGGGCUUACUGGUGAUUCAUAAUAACUUCUCGAAUCGCAUGCCCUUGCGGCGGCGAUGGUUCAUUCAAAUUUCUGCCCUAUCAACUUUCGAUGGCAGGGUCUUGGCCUGCCAUGGUUACAACGGGUAACGGAGGGUUAGGGCUCGACCCCGGAGAAGGAGCCUGAGAAACGGCUACUACAUCCAAGGAAGGCAGCAGGCGCGCAAAUUACCCAAUCCCGAUACGGGGAGGUAGUGACAAUAAAUACUGAUACAGGGCUCUUUUGGGUCUUGUAAUUGGAAUGAGUACAAUUUAAAUCCCUUAACGAGGAACAAUUGGAGGGCAAGUCUGGUGCCAGCAGCCGCGGUAAUUCCAGCUCCAAUAGCGUAUAUUAAAGUUGUUGCAGUUAAAAAGCUCGUAGUUGAACCUUGGGCCUGGCUGGCCGGUCCGCCUCACCGCGUGCACUGGUUCGGCC